GACGAACGCUGGCGGCGUGCUUAACACAUGCAAGUCGAACGGAAAGGCCCUGCCUUUGUGGGGUGCUCGAGUGGCGAACGGGUGAGUAACACGUGAGUAACCUGCCCUUGACUUUGGGAUAACUUCAGGAAACUGGGGCUAAUACCGGAUAGGAGCUCCUGCUGCAUGGUGGGGGUUGGAAAGUUUCGGCGGUUGGGGAUGGACUCGCGGCUUAUCAGCUUGUUGGUGGGGUAGUGGCUUACCAAGGCUUUGACGGGUAGCCGGCCUGAGAGGGUGACCGGCCACAUUGGGACUGAGAUACGGCCCAGACUCCUACGGGAGGCAGCAGUGGGGAAUAUUGCACAAUGGGCGGAAGCCUGAUGCAGCAACGCCGCGUGCGGGAUGACGGCCUUCGGGUUGUAAACCGCUUUCGCCUGUGACGAAGCGUGAGUGACGGUGAUGGGUAAAGAAGCACCGGCUAACUACGUG
This 468-nucleotide ribosomal RNA is filed under the name uncultured bacterium. RNAcentral describes it as "partial 16S ribosomal RNA". It matches the Rfam family "Bacterial small subunit ribosomal RNA", at positions 28 to 507 of the family's 1533-position model. The record is from RNAcentral.